GACGAACGCUGGCGGCGUGCUUAACACAUGCAAGUCGAACGGAAAGGCCCUGCUUGCGGGGUACUCGAGUGGCGAACGGGUGAGUAACACGUGGGUGAUCUGCCCUGCACUUCGGGAUAAGUCUGUGAAACUGGGCCUAGUUCCUGCCAGGUGCCAUUUUUAGCGUGAUGGUUGGAAAGUUUUGUCGGUGUUUGCUGAGCUCGCUGCCUAUCAGCUUGUUGGUGGGGUAAUGGCGUACCAAAGCGGCGGCGGGUAGCCGGACUGCGGGGGUGGCCCGCGACAUUGAGUCUGACAGACGGCAGAGGCUGCUAAGCGAGGCAGCAGUGGGGAAUACUGCCCGAGGAGCGCAGGGCUGAUGAAGAGAGGCCGCGUGGCGGAUGACGGCCUUCUGGUUGUAGACUCCUUUCGCUAGGGACGAAGCAUAUUGUGACGGUACCUAGAUAGGAAGCCACGGCUAACUACGUG
RNAcentral lists this ribosomal RNA (465 nucleotides) under uncultured bacterium. RNAcentral describes it as "partial 16S ribosomal RNA". It matches the Rfam family "Bacterial small subunit ribosomal RNA", at positions 28 to 507 of the family's 1533-position model. The record is from RNAcentral.